CGUGUAGGCGGUGCGGUAAGUUGGGCGUGAAAUCCCCAGGCUUAACUUGGGGGGGGUCGUCCAAAAACUGCCGUGCUAGAGUGCAGGAGAGGGAAGUGGAAUUCCCGGCGUAGCGGUGAAAUGCGUAGAUAUCGGGAGGAACACCUGCGGCGAAGGCGGCUUCCUGGACUGCAACUGACGCUGAGGCGCGAAAGCUAGGGGAGCAAACAGGAUUAGAUACCCUGGUAGUCCUAGCCCUAAACGAUGAGCACUGGGUGUGGCCCUUCACCGGGCCGUGCCGAAGCUAACGCAUUAAGUGCUCCGCCUGGGGAGUACGGUCGCAAGGCUGAA
RNAcentral lists this ribosomal RNA (330 nucleotides) under uncultured bacterium. RNAcentral describes it as "bacterial SSU rRNA". It matches the Rfam family "Bacterial small subunit ribosomal RNA", at positions 568 to 898 of the family's 1533-position model. The record is from RNAcentral.